GUACGAUCGCAAGAUUAAAACUCAAAGGAAUUGACGGGGGCCCCGCACAAGCAGCGGAGCAUGCGGCUUAAUUCGACGCAACGCGAAGAACCUUACCAAGGCUUGACAUAUACAGGAAUAUGGCAGAGAUGUCAUAGCCGCAAGGUCUGUAUACAGGUGGUGCAUGGUUGUCGUCAGCUCGUGUCGUGAGAUGUUGGGUUAAGUCCCGCAACGAGCGCAACCCUCGUUCUGUGUUGCCAGCAUUUAGUUGGGGACUCACAGGAGACUGCCGGGGUUAACUCGGAGGAAGGUGGGGAUGACGUCAAAUCAUCAUGCCCCUUAUGUCUUGGGCUGCACGCAUGCUACAAUGGCUGGUACAAACGGCUGCGAUACCGCAAGGUGGAGCGAAUCCGAGAAAGCCAGUCUCAGUUCGGAUUGGGGUCUGCAACUCGACCCCAUGAAGUCGGAGUUGCUAGUAAUCGUAGAUCAGCAACGCUACGGUGAAUACGUUCCCGGGGCUUGUACACACCGCCCGUCACAUCACGAAAGUCGGUAACACCCAAAGUCAGUGGCCCAACCGCAAGGAGGGAGCUGCCAAAGGUGGGAUCGGUGAUUGGGAUG
This 600-nucleotide ribosomal RNA is filed under the name uncultured bacterium. RNAcentral's name for it is "bacterial SSU rRNA". It matches the Rfam family "Bacterial small subunit ribosomal RNA", at positions 880 to 1482 of the family's 1533-position model. The record is from RNAcentral.